This 58-nucleotide transfer RNA is filed under the name Triticum urartu. It matches the Rfam family "tRNA", at positions 8 to 63 of the family's 71-position model. Rfam says of the family: Transfer RNA (tRNA) molecules are approximately 80 nucleotides in length. Their secondary structure includes four short double-helical elements and three loops (D, anti-codon, and T loops). Further hydrogen bonds mediate the characteristic L-shaped molecular structure. tRNAs have two regions of fundamental functional importance: the anti-codon, which is responsible for specific mRNA codon recognition, and the 3' end, to which the tRNAs corresponding amino acid is attached (by aminoacyl-tRNA synthetases). tRNAs cope with the degeneracy of the genetic code in two manners: having more than one tRNA (with a specific anti-codon) for a particular amino acid; and 'wobble' base-pairing, i.e. permitting non-standard base-pairing at the 3rd anti-codon position. The record is from Rfam by way of RNAcentral. Lineage: Eukaryota; Viridiplantae; Streptophyta; Magnoliopsida; Poales; Poaceae.
UAGCUCAGAGGUUAGAGCAUCGCAUUUGUAAUGCGAGGUUCAUCGGUUCAAAUCCGAU